GGGCUGGUAGAUCAGUUGGUAGAUCGCCACCUUCGCAAGGUGGAGGCCGCGAGUUCGACUCUCGCCCAGUCCA
Molecule: transfer RNA, 73 nt
Filed under: Candidatus Portnoybacteria bacterium CG10_big_fil_rev_8_21_14_0_10_36_7
Lineage: Bacteria; Candidatus Portnoyibacteriota
Description: tRNA-Ala
Rfam family: tRNA
About the family: Transfer RNA (tRNA) molecules are approximately 80 nucleotides in length. Their secondary structure includes four short double-helical elements and three loops (D, anti-codon, and T loops). Further hydrogen bonds mediate the characteristic L-shaped molecular structure. tRNAs have two regions of fundamental functional importance: the anti-codon, which is responsible for specific mRNA codon recognition, and the 3' end, to which the tRNAs corresponding amino acid is attached (by aminoacyl-tRNA synthetases). tRNAs cope with the degeneracy of the genetic code in two manners: having more than one tRNA (with a specific anti-codon) for a particular amino acid; and 'wobble' base-pairing, i.e. permitting non-standard base-pairing at the 3rd anti-codon position.
Source: RNAcentral